RNAcentral lists this transfer RNA (69 nucleotides) under Baicalia turriformis. Its description in RNAcentral is "tRNA-Ala". The record is from RNAcentral. Lineage: Eukaryota; Metazoa; Mollusca; Gastropoda; Littorinimorpha; Baicaliidae. RNAcentral also lists the same sequence under 1 other name.
GUUUAAUUAGGUAAUUGUAGCCACCUACUGAUUUGCAUUCAAAAAAUAAACAUAAACUGCUGCUAAAUA